GACGAACGCUGGCGGCGUGCUUAACACAUGCAAGUCGAACGGAAAGGCCCUGCUUUUGUGGGGUGCUCGAGUGGCGAACGGGUGAGUAACACGUGAGUAACCUGCCCUUGACUUUGGGAUAACUUCAGGAAACUGGGGCUAAUACCGGAUAGGAGCUCCUGCUGCAUGGUGGGGGUUGGAAAGUUUCGGCGGUUGGGGAUGGACUCGCGGCUUAUCAGCUUGUUGGUGGGGUAGUGGCUUACCAAGGCUUUGACGGGUAGCCGGCCUGAGAGGGUGACCGGCCACAUUGGGACUGGGAUCCGGCCGAGACUCCUACGGGAGGCAGCGGUGGGGAAUAUGCACAAUGGGCGGAAGCCUGAUGCAGCAACGCCGCGUGCGGGAGGACGGCCUUCGGGUUGUAAACCGCUUUCGCCUGUGACGAAGCGUGAGUGACGGUAAUGGGUAAAGAAGCACCGGCUAACUACGU
This 466-nucleotide ribosomal RNA is filed under the name uncultured bacterium. Its description in RNAcentral is "partial 16S ribosomal RNA". It matches the Rfam family "Bacterial small subunit ribosomal RNA", at positions 28 to 506 of the family's 1533-position model. The record is from RNAcentral.